This 482-nucleotide ribosomal RNA is filed under the name uncultured bacterium. Its description in RNAcentral is "partial 16S ribosomal RNA". It matches the Rfam family "Bacterial small subunit ribosomal RNA", at positions 30 to 507 of the family's 1533-position model. The record is from RNAcentral.
AUUGAACGCUGGCGGCAUGCUUUACACAUGCAAGUCGAACGGUAACAGGCCGCAAGGUGCUGACGAGUGGCGAACGGGUGAGUAAUGCAUCGGAACGUGCCCAGUCGUGGGGGAUAACUACUCGAAAGAGUAGCUAAUACCGCAUACGAUCUAUGGAUGAAAGCGGGGGACCGUAAGGCCUCGCGCGAUUGGAGCGGCCGAUGUCGGAUUAGGUAGUUGGUGGGGUAAAGGCUCACCAAGCCAACGAUCUGUAGCUGGUCUGAGAGGACAACCAGCCACACUGGGACUGAGACACGGCCCAGACUCCUACGGGAGGCAGCAGUGGGGAAUUUUGGACAAUGGGCGCAAGCCUGAUCCAGCAAUGCCGCGUGCAGGAAGAAGGCCUUCGGGUUGUAAACUGCUUUUGUACGGAACGAAACGGCUCUGGUUAAUACCCGGGGCUAAUGACGGUACCGUAAGAAUAAGCACCGGCUAACUGCGUG